AUAUCAAUAAGCGGAGGAAAAGAAACCAACAGGGAUUGCCUCAGUAACGGCGAGUGAAGCGGCAACAGCUCAAAUUUGAAAUCUGGCCUCACGGUCCGAGUUGUAAUUUGUAGAGGAUGCUUCGAGCAUGGUCUGGCCUAAGUUCCUUGGAACAGGACGUCAUAGAGGGUGAGAAUCCCGUAUGCGGCCAGGUGCCUACGCUCAUGUGAAGCUCCUUCGACGAGUCGAGUUGUUUGGGAAUGCAGCUCAAAAUGGGUGGUAAAUUUCAUCUAAAGCUAAAUAUUGGCCAGAGACCGAUAGCGCACAAGUAGAGUGAUCGAAAGAUGAAAAGCACUUUGGAAAGAGAGUUAAACAGUACGUGAAAUUGUUGAAAGGGAAGCGCUUGCAACCAGACUUGCGUGCGGCCGAUCAUCCGGUGUUCUCACCGGUGCACUCGGUCGCGCUCAGGCCAGCAUCGGUUUUGGUGGUUGGAUAAAGGCCCUAGGAAUGUAGCUUCUCUCGGGGAGUGUUAUAGCCUAGGGUGCAAUGCAGCCCACCGGGACCGAGGACCGCGCUUCGGCUAGGAUGCUGGCGUAAUGGUUGUAAGCGACCCGUCUUGAAACACGGACCAAGGAGUCUAACAUCUAUGCGAGUGUUUGGGUGUCAAACCCAUACGCGUAAUGAAAGUGAACGGAGGUGAGAACCCUUAAGGGUGCAUCAUCGACCGAUCCUGAUGUCUUCGGAUGGAUUUGAGUAAGAGCAUAGCUGUUGGGACCCGAAAGAUGGUGAACUAUGCCUGAAUAGGGUGAAGCCAGAGGAAACUCUGGUGGAGGCUCGCAGCGGUUCUGACGUGCAAAUCGAUCGUCAAAUUUGGGCAUAGGGGCGAAAGACUAAUCGAACCAUCUAGUAGCUGGUUCCUGC
Molecule: ribosomal RNA, 900 nt
Filed under: Pseudeurotium sp.
Lineage: Eukaryota; Fungi; Ascomycota; Leotiomycetes; Thelebolales; Pseudeurotiaceae
Description: partial large subunit ribosomal RNA
Rfam family: Eukaryotic large subunit ribosomal RNA
Source: RNAcentral